UCAGACAUGGUGUAGUGGGAACACAGCCUCUAUUCUUCACGAUAAAAAAUGACAUAAGAGGUAGCCAGGGUUUGAAUCCCUGUGUCUGAA
Non-coding RNA from Mycena vulgaris, 90 nucleotides. The record is from the annotation of a GenBank genome assembly. Lineage: Eukaryota; Fungi; Basidiomycota; Agaricomycetes; Agaricales; Mycenaceae.